RNAcentral lists this transfer RNA (76 nucleotides) under Rheinheimera lutimaris. RNAcentral describes it as "Rheinheimera sp. YQF-2 tRNA-Val". It matches the Rfam family "tRNA". Rfam says of the family: Transfer RNA (tRNA) molecules are approximately 80 nucleotides in length. Their secondary structure includes four short double-helical elements and three loops (D, anti-codon, and T loops). Further hydrogen bonds mediate the characteristic L-shaped molecular structure. tRNAs have two regions of fundamental functional importance: the anti-codon, which is responsible for specific mRNA codon recognition, and the 3' end, to which the tRNAs corresponding amino acid is attached (by aminoacyl-tRNA synthetases). tRNAs cope with the degeneracy of the genetic code in two manners: having more than one tRNA (with a specific anti-codon) for a particular amino acid; and 'wobble' base-pairing, i.e. permitting non-standard base-pairing at the 3rd anti-codon position. Lineage: Bacteria; Pseudomonadati; Pseudomonadota; Gammaproteobacteria; Chromatiales; Chromatiaceae. The record is from RNAcentral.
GGAUUGUUCGCUCAGCUGGGAGAGCACCGCCCUGACAAGGCGGGGGUCACUGGGUCGAACCCAGUACAAUCCACCA